GGUCUGAGGUGAGCUCGCGUCCUAUUAGGUAGUUGGUGAGGUGACGGCCCACCAAGCCUACGAUAGGUAGCCGACCUGAGAGGGUGAUCGGCCACACUGGAACUGAGACACGGUCCAGACUCCUACGGGAGGCAGCAGUGGGGAAUAUUGGGCAAUGGGCGAAAGCCUGACCCAGCAACGCCGCGUGAGUGAAGAAGGUCUUCGGAUUGUAAAUCUCUGUCCUAAGAGAAGAGGGGAAGACGGUAUCUUAGGAGGAAGCCCCGGCUAACUACGUGCCAGCAGCCGCGGUAAUACGUAGGGGGCGAGCGUUGUCCGGAAUGAUUGGGCGUAAAGGGCGUGUAGGCGGCCUGUUAAGUCUGGAGUGAAAGUCCUGUUUUCAAGAUGGGAAUUGCUUUGGAUACUGGCGGGCUUGAGUGCAGGAGAGGUUAUCGGAAUUCCCGGUGUAGCGGUGAAAUGCGUAGAGAUCGGGAGGAACACCAGUGGCGAAGGCGGGUAACUGGACUGCAACUGACGCUGAGGCGCGAAAGUGUGGGGAGCAAACAGGAUUAGAUACCCUGGUAGUCCACACUGUAAACGAUGAAUGCUAGGUGUAGGGGGUAUCGACCCCUUCUGUGCCGCAGUAAAACACAAUAAGGCAUUCCGCCUGGGGAGUACGGCCGCAAGGUUGAAACUCAAAGGGAUUUGACGGGGGGCCCGCACA
RNAcentral lists this ribosomal RNA (700 nucleotides) under uncultured rumen bacterium. RNAcentral's name for it is "bacterial SSU rRNA". It matches the Rfam family "Bacterial small subunit ribosomal RNA", at positions 217 to 927 of the family's 1533-position model. The record is from RNAcentral.